GACAAUGUGGCCGAGUGGUUAAGGCGACGCACUCGAAAUGCGUUGGGAUUUCCCGCGCAGGUUCGAAUCCUGCUGUUGUCG
RNAcentral lists this transfer RNA (81 nucleotides) under Debaryomyces hansenii CBS767. RNAcentral describes it as "tRNA-Ser (CGA) (tRNA-Ser-CGA-1-1)". It matches the Rfam family "tRNA". From Rfam's summary of the family: Transfer RNA (tRNA) molecules are approximately 80 nucleotides in length. Their secondary structure includes four short double-helical elements and three loops (D, anti-codon, and T loops). The record is from RNAcentral. Lineage: Eukaryota; Fungi; Ascomycota; Pichiomycetes; Serinales; Debaryomycetaceae.